CGAAAGAUAGCUCCGGCCCUGCCAACUCAACUGCAGACCUGCUGAAACAAGGGGCAGCCUGCAAUGUGCUCUUCGUCAACUCUGUGGACAUGGAGUCACUCACUGGGCCACAGGCCAUCUCUAAAGCCACAUCUGAGACGUUGGCUGCAGACCCCACGCCAGCUGCCACCAUCGUUCACUUCAAAGUCUCUGCCCAGGGAAUCACUCUGACUGACAACCAGAGAAAGUAAGACUCCCCUGCCUGCUCCUCGGUGGGGUUCUCCUUCCUGUGACUCAUCUAUUCAUCCGUGUACCCACACAUUUACCACUUGAUUGAUUCCUUGCACCCAACUGCU
RNAcentral lists this long non-coding RNA (335 nucleotides) under Homo sapiens (human). RNAcentral describes it as "non-protein coding lnc-DIRC3-4:1". Lineage: Eukaryota; Metazoa; Chordata; Mammalia; Primates; Hominidae. The record is from RNAcentral.